AUGUCAGCACCUUCACGGAGCGAACACAAAAGAAUCCUGGUUCAGAAAGGUCAGGCCUGCUUUACUAGGGCUGGUGCAUGACUUACCUUGACCUGCAUCCCCAGCGUGAGCGGUAUGAUGCCUCUCCCAGCCCGUUUCUGCCUCGCUUCUUUGGAGGAAAAAGCAGGCAGAGCUGGUCCAUAAUCCUAGCUCCACUGCCCCCAACCUGCAAGACUCUCUGCAAGACCCUGUCCGGGCUCACUUUCCAGGUGAGAAUAAGACCUACAGCCGAGG
RNAcentral lists this long non-coding RNA (273 nucleotides) under Mustela putorius furo (domestic ferret). RNAcentral describes it as "lncRNA (ENSMPUG00000027645.1)". Lineage: Eukaryota; Metazoa; Chordata; Mammalia; Carnivora; Mustelidae. The record is from RNAcentral.